Molecule: ribosomal RNA, 357 nt
Filed under: uncultured bacterium
Lineage: Bacteria
Description: bacterial SSU rRNA
Rfam family: Bacterial small subunit ribosomal RNA
Source: RNAcentral
AGCGAACGCUGGCGGCAGGCCUAACACAUGCAAGUCGAGCGCCCAGCAAUGGGAGCGGCAGACGGGAUAGUAACACGUGGGAACGUACCUUUCAGUUCGGAACAACCCAGGGAAACUUGGGCUAAUACCGAAUACGUCCGUAAGGAGAAAGAUUUAUCGCUGAAAGAUCGGCCCGCGUCUGAUUAGCUAGUUGGUGAGGUAAUGGCUCACCAAGGCGACGAUCAGUAGCUGGCUGAGAGGAUGAUCAGCAUCACUGGGACUGAGACACGGCCAGACUCCUACGGGAGGCAGCAGUGGGAAUAUUGCACAAUGGGCGCAAGCCUGGAUGCCAGCGACGCCGCGUGAGGGAUGACGGCC